This 253-nucleotide ribosomal RNA is filed under the name uncultured bacterium. RNAcentral describes it as "partial 16S ribosomal RNA". It matches the Rfam family "Bacterial small subunit ribosomal RNA", at positions 524 to 776 of the family's 1533-position model. The record is from RNAcentral.
UACGUAGGUGACCAGCGUUGUCCGGAUUUACUGGGCGUAAAGAGCGCGCAGGCGGUCGUACAAGUCGCGUGUGAAAGCCCCCGGCUCAACUGGGGAGGGUCACGCGAUACUGCUCGACUCGAAGGCAGGAGAGGGAAGUGGAAUUCCCGGUGUAGUGGUGAAAUGCGUAGAUAUCGGGAGGAACACCAGUGGCGAAGGCGACUUCCUGGCCUGUUCUUGACGCUGAGGCGCGAAAGCUAGGGUAGCAAACGGG